CAUUCUGGAUUGGAUGGCAACAUGCAAGUAAACACAGAUUUUUAUCAGAUUGUUGAGUGGUGCCUCGAACCAAAAAGCAGAAGUUACAACUGCACCAUGGGCUAAAAACAUUGUGAUCUACUCCUCCUUCAGCCACAGCCAAUUGACCCUGUUUGGCUUAGCAAAGUCUAUAGAACAGAGGAGGACCAAGACAACAGUGCUAAACAGACUAACCCGUUUCACUGAAAUACAGGGUAAUCAGGUGUGGAGAAGUGAAGAUUGUGAGUGGGAGUCGGCGAGAGAAAGGACUUGUCCCUGCCUACAUUCUUCUGUUCCAAUUACUGGGGGAGAGAUUAGACUGAAAGCUAAACGUGAUGAGCGAUGUGGACAGCUAGUUUCAGUGUUUCUGAUCAUAUCAUGAGUUCAUGAGUUCUUGCCAGGUUUAAAGGAUAUGAAA
This is a long non-coding RNA of Trichomycterus rosablanca, 436 nucleotides long. RefSeq lists it as uncharacterized. The record is from RefSeq and is a predicted model, not a curated record. The transcript has 3 exons. Lineage: Eukaryota; Metazoa; Chordata; Actinopteri; Siluriformes; Trichomycteridae.